UCGUUCAACUGCCUGCAACUUCCAACUGACGAACAUCCACAGCUCCGCGGCCCAGUGACAAACACCAUCUAACAGAUAAGCCUUCUGAAAAGUCAAAGCCAAUACUGCUUCCAUUGAAAAUUUAAUGCCAGCUCCAUCUUUGCCCAUCAUUCUUCCGACUGUUCCAUGUUUCCCAAGAGGCCCUUGAAGCUAAAGCACUGCUCUAUAACAGAGCCUCUCAAGCUUCCAGCUCCAGUUGCACUGGACACCCUCACAGCCCUUCUGCAGAGCUGGGAAUGGCCAAAUCCUGCAGGCCCACUCAUGUCCCUGCAAGAAUCCUGAUGUUGGGAGAGAAAGCAUGCAUGUUCCCUCCUUUGCUGCUCCCCAAACGAAAGGCCACCUGCAGCCUUAUAUUUGCAAGAAACUCAUGCUGAGCAUCUGAGCCUAGGAAGACACAGAGUCCUGUCCUCCAACAGCCAGCUCUCAGGCCUUCUCGAACCUCUCCCUUCCCUGCCAGAUGUGACCUUGUACUCUGGAUGCCUGUGGUUUGGCUUUCUCCUCCUCACAAACAUGGAUGCUGUCCUUCUAGCAGAGGGAUUGAUGUGUUUAUGCAUGUAUCAUACCUUCCCCUCUGAGGAUGGGGGCAUGCCUUGCCCAAAGCACCCAGCCAGGGCUGAGCACAGGGACUCAACUAGGAGGAUUUUUGCUGACUGAUAAGUCCCCACUGGACAGGUCUGAGGGUUCUCCCCAAACCAUGCACUCUGGCAGUGGGCUAGUCUGACCACCUCCCCCGCCGUGUGUGUGAGACCCGCUGGUGGGCACUGUACACAGCAUGGACGUGGAAGACAAGCCUGGAAGUGAUGACUCUGCUGGAGUGAGCAGCACCACAACACAGAGCAGAUCGCUGGAGGGAAAGAUCACCUGGGGCGGCACUCCAGGGUGGAGUCAGGAGGACAUGGAGUUUUGGAGGCACACAGACAGCCCCGGAAGGCAAAAGUGUUCAUCAAGCAACCUCUGACUCAAGGAUAUCCCUGGACCACACCCCUGGGAGUGAGUGCACCAGGGAGUCACAUUAAUCCCAUAAACCCUGUUGUUGUCCUGUGACUGGCACCAUUCAUGCAUGGCAGUUUUAUACAUUAAAAAUGUCUAUGUUUUGGAGCCAAGUGAA
Molecule: long non-coding RNA, 1147 nt
Filed under: Homo sapiens (human)
Lineage: Eukaryota; Metazoa; Chordata; Mammalia; Primates; Hominidae
Description: HSALNT0397384
Source: RNAcentral